Odocoileus virginianus texanus is the source of this 1619-nucleotide non-coding RNA. NCBI's taxonomy places the organism in Eukaryota, Metazoa, Chordata, Mammalia, Artiodactyla, Cervidae. The record is from RefSeq and is a predicted model, not a curated record.
CCGUCUGUCUCUGGGAUUCGCCUGUUUUGGACGUUUCUGAGAUGGAAUCACACACCUAGUGUCCCUCCGCGGGGCUGCUCUCACCGAGCGCCGUUUCCGAGGCUCGCAGGCCCCGCAGCUGCGUCAGCGCUUCGCCCCUUUGUGUGGCGGAGCCAUGAUCCGCUCUGCGGAUGGGCCUCGUGAGUCUACUGGUCGGUCGGUGACCGGGGACGCUUUGCACGCAGACUGCUUCGUCACAGUCGGCUGACGGAGGACUCGCCGCCCGCUCCGCACUCUGCACAAUGGACUUGGGGGCACACCCGAGGGCCUCUGAGUCGCUCCUCCCUGCGACACUGUGCCUUCAAGAUUCGUGGGUCUGUCUCGUCGACCGUACAGGGUCCCCUGUGCCGGCUCUCAGGUUCCUCGCCGGCUCUCUGCAGCUCCCGUCCCGGUCAUCUCCACGCCGACUCCCGAGGCGCUGCUCUGGCCGUGCUCCUGUUGGCUGUCCUCUCAUCCCCGUGGGGGGCAUGACGGGUGCGGCGGCCCUGGGCCGUGCGAUCGGGUACAGCGCCCAUGGGCACCCCCCUUCCGCAAGACUCACAGGGAACAGGUGCAGGUGGAUUCUUCAGUAUCUGAGCCUCCAGAGAGAUACGCAAAAUUUCUCUCCAUUCAAGUGCCACUGACUUCAGCUGGGCAAAUAUCCUAGCUCUGAGAGGCGGUCAAUAGUCUUUAAAACUCCUUUCAAAAUCUCAUCAAACACAGAAUUUAGCAAUAAAAAACAGCACAAACUGUGGCAUAGCAACUUGGAUGAAUCUCCAGAAAAUUAAACUUGAGUGCAAGAAGAGCCAAUCCCCAAAGGUUACACAUCGCAUGAGUCCAUUUACAGGACAUUCUUGAAGUGGAAAAUUACGGAGAUGGGGAACAGAACCAGGCACUCCUGGGGGCAUCACCAGAGUAAGUCCCGCUCAGAGACCUCCUUUUCUAAGAAGCACGGGGUUAGGAAGGAAAAUUGCCCAUGGCACCUGCUUGCUUCCCAAGCACAGGACUGAACUUGCCAUGAGUCAGCUAGACCCCUCCUGCCGCUGGGCUCGGCUUGAUGCAGUGAAGCUGGGGGUCUGCAGGGGGAGGAAGGCCUUGCAUCUGAACUGCACCUGCUUUGGAAAGGUAUUUCUUCACCGUCUCGGCGUGUGUCUCACCCAACUCCUGAGAGCCUGCCCAAGACUCUGUGCUGCUUCCAACUGUCAGGAGAGGCUGUGGACCUCACGGUGGGCCACACCAGCCCACACCCUCUCACCUGCACCCCAAGGACACGGACCAAGCAUGUCAUGGCUCGGGGGGACGUGGGGGAGGGCAGGACAGAGACCAUUUUUACCUCUCAGAUAUGCUACUUUGGGUAAAAAUAUGGGAGAAGAUGCCUUCAGUUCAGUCUAGGAAGGCACAGGAUAAAGCUUAAUUUACAGAAGGGUAGCAAGACUCCUACUUCUUCCUCUUCUGUGCAAAAGAAGUGUGUUAGUGUUUGCCAGAGAUGCUUCUGGUCCUGGGGGCCUGGACUGGCCUUCUGACCCCUCACCUGUCCAUGGGGAGGAGUGGCCUGCUGGCUGGCUGUUCUCUGUGAUCCAGGAGGAACACCAAAAUUCCUG